This 466-nucleotide ribosomal RNA is filed under the name uncultured bacterium. RNAcentral's name for it is "SSU rRNA". It matches the Rfam family "Bacterial small subunit ribosomal RNA", at positions 26 to 518 of the family's 1533-position model. The record is from RNAcentral.
AGGACAAACGCUGGCGGCGUACUUAAGACAUGCAAGUCGAACGGGCGCUUCACCUUCGGGUGGGUGUGCUAGUGGCGGACGGGUGAGUAACGCGUAGGAACCUGUCAUCAAGAGGGGGAUAACGCUGGGAAACCGGCGCUAAUACCGCAUGUGGUCAUGAAAAUGAAGAAAGCAGCAAUGCGCUUGAUGAGGGGCCUGCGUCCGAUUAGCUUGUUGGUGGGGUAAAGGCCUACCAAGGCAUCGAUCGGUAGCUGGUCUGAGGGGAUGGUCAGCCACACUGGGACUGAGACACGGCCCAGACUCCUACGGGAGGCAGCAGUUAGGAAAUUUUCCCAAUGGGCGCAAGCCUGAGGGAGUAACGCCGCGUGGAGGAUGACGGCUUUCGGGUUGUAAACUCCUUUCUGUGGGAAGAGUAGAAGGCGGUACCGCAGGAAUAAGCCUCGGCUAACUACGCGCCAGCAGCCGC